UACGUAGGGUGCAAGCGUUGUCCGGAAUUAUUGGGCGUAAAGAGCUCGUAGGCGGUUUGUCGCGUCGAAUGUGAAAACCCGGGGCUCAACUCCGGGCCUGCAUUCGAUACGGGCAGACUAGAGUUCGGUAGGGGAGACUGGAAUUCCUGGUGUAGCGGUGGAAUGCGCAGAUAUCAGGAGGAACAUCAGUGGCGAAGGCGACCGCCUGGCCCAACACUGACGCUGAGGUGCGAAAGCGUGGGUAGCAAACAGG
RNAcentral lists this ribosomal RNA (253 nucleotides) under uncultured bacterium. RNAcentral describes it as "partial 16S ribosomal RNA". It matches the Rfam family "Bacterial small subunit ribosomal RNA", at positions 524 to 776 of the family's 1533-position model. The record is from RNAcentral.